This 249-nucleotide long non-coding RNA is filed under the name Homo sapiens (human). RNAcentral's name for it is "HSALNT0145159". Lineage: Eukaryota; Metazoa; Chordata; Mammalia; Primates; Hominidae. The record is from RNAcentral.
UGUUUAGGGCCCUGGUACAGGUGGGGGCGACCUACCGUGGCGAGGAGACCGGGACCUGUCUCCCCAGGACUCGGGACUCCUCAUGGUGGCAGCGCCCGGCAAUGGCCUCCCUCUGCGCCUCAGGUGGGCUCCCUGCCGGCCGCCCCAGCAGCAAGGGCGGGAGCAUGGCGAGCAGGGCUGAGCGGGCGGGCAGGGCCUGGCCUGGGGCUCGGGGCUCCAAGCAUGGGCGCAGUGCAAGGCGGUGGCCAA